GUUCAGAUGAUGAAUUAACUGUUCAACUGCUGAGUGAUACAAACAUGAACUAAAACUUAAAUUCUGACAGCU
Molecule: small nucleolar RNA, 72 nt
Organism: Fukomys damarensis (Damara mole-rat)
Lineage: Eukaryota; Metazoa; Chordata; Mammalia; Rodentia; Bathyergidae
Source: Ensembl